Molecule: ribosomal RNA, 325 nt
Filed under: uncultured eukaryote
Lineage: Eukaryota
Description: partial 18S ribosomal RNA
Rfam family: Eukaryotic small subunit ribosomal RNA
Source: RNAcentral
CCCUUAGAUGUUCUGGGCCGCACGCGCGCUACACUGAUGCAUUCAACAAGCCUAGCCUUGACCGAGAGGUCCGGGUAAUCUUUGAAACUGCAUCGUGAUGGGGCUAGAUUAUUGCAAUUAUUAAUCUUCAACGAGGAAUGCCUAGUAAGCGUGAUUCAUCAAAUCGCGUUGAUUACGUCCCUGCCCUUUGUACACACCGCCCGUCGCUCCUACCGAUUGGGUGUGCUGGUGAAAUGUUCGGAUCGGCCGUUUGUCGCGGUUUCCGCGGCUCGUGGCUGAGAAGUUCAUUAAACCCUCCCACCUAGAGGAAGGAGAAGUCGUAACA